RNAcentral lists this unclassified non-coding RNA (206 nucleotides) under soil metagenome. RNAcentral's name for it is "partial contains 5.8S ribosomal RNA, internal transcribed spacer 2, and large subunit ribosomal RNA". The record is from RNAcentral.
AACACUGUUAACCUGCGGUACCUGCGGAAGGAUCAUUACAGGAUUCGCAAGACUCCCGUAACCACUGUGAACUUUACCUUUUGUUGCCUCGGCGGGUGCCGGACUCGCUCCAGCGCUCACGCCCGCCGGCGGCCCACAACUCAUUGUCUGAUUCUAAGCAUCUCCGAGCUAUACACAAACGAAUCAAAACUUUCAACAAUGGAUCU